Molecule: long non-coding RNA, 705 nt
Organism: Anguilla anguilla (European eel)
Lineage: Eukaryota; Metazoa; Chordata; Actinopteri; Anguilliformes; Anguillidae
Exons: 2
Source: RefSeq, a predicted model, not a curated record
UUCAGUCCAGCGCAGAUCAAACGGCGCGGUGGACCGGACGGCCACGCCGCUACAGAGCAGCAGAGCCGUCUGCCCGACGUGUCACAACAACAACAAAAAAAAGGCAUGAAACUAUUCUAACCCUAAAACAAAAAUUCUUGUCUAGGAAUCACUGCAGUUUUGUUGAGCUCGGUUGAGAUGAACCUCUAAGCCAUGAAAGUGUUUGCACAGCAUAAAAACGGUAUACCGUAUACAACAUAUUUAGGAGAAGCCAUUCUGCUGGAGUAAAUUGUUCAGGGAUGAAAUGGCAUCACAAGUUCAAAGAGUGCUCACAUCUACUGCGAUCGCACGGGCGAGGAACAGACAGAUAGACCUGUCGUGUUCCAGCAAUGAUAGCCUUUAGUCACGAGGGGUCACCUGGACCUUUUUCGACGGAUAAGAGAGCUAGAAACGGUGCCUCUUCAACUGCAAAGCAAAAGAAAACGCUAGAUUUUGGGAGCAACAGCUGCAUGUCGCUACUUUGGAGAAAUGGUACGUUCGUUGAAAAAGAGGCCCAUGUAGGGUCCACCUUUUUUGAUGAAUUCCAGUGAGCUUGUUGUUGUGGCAACAGGUUUCGACUGGCUGCUAACGCCCGGCGCUCCAGAGGAAUGUACGGCCAGUUUCACACAUGGUAGGCCCAACCUGUGAAAAACCCAGCAAAAAAAUAAAAUAAACUGUGCACGAAAA